RNAcentral lists this ribosomal RNA (1469 nucleotides) under metagenome. RNAcentral describes it as "bacterial SSU rRNA". It matches the Rfam family "Bacterial small subunit ribosomal RNA". The record is from RNAcentral.
AGAGUUUGAUCCUGGCUCAGGAUGAACGCUAGCGGCAGGCCUAAUACAUGCAAGUCGAACGCGUAGCAAUACGAGUGGCGGACGGGUGCGUAACACGUAUGCAACCUACUUCCGGGGAAGGAAUAACAAGAAGAAAUUCUUGCUAAUACCGUAUGAAGCAGCUUACCCGCAUGGGUUGGGCUGUUAAAGGGGCAACCCGCCUGGAAAUGGGCAUGCGUCCGAUUAGCUAGAUGGGGAGGUAACGGCUCACCAUGGCGACGAUCGGUAGCUGGUCUGAGAGGAUGAUCAGCCACACUGGCACUGAGACACGGGCCAGACUCCUACGGGAGGCAGCAGUAGGGAAUAUUGGGCAAUGGGCGAAAGCCUGACCCAGCCAUGCCGCGUGAAGGAUGAAGGUCCACAGGAUUGUAAACUUCUUUUAUCAGGGAAUAAGGCUCAAGUAACUCUUGAGAUUGAAGGUACCUGAGGAAUAAGCACCGGCUAACUACGUGCCAGCAGCCGCGGUAAUACGUAGGGUGCAAGCGUUGUCCGGAUUUACUGGGUUUAAAGGGUGCGUAGGCGGUUUCAUAAGUCAGUGAUGAAAUGUCGGGGCUCAACCCCGUACCUGUUACUGAUACUGCGAAACUUGAGAAUGGAUGAGGUUGCUGGAAUGUGUGGUGUAGCGGUGAAAUGCGUAGAGAUCACACAGAACACCAAUUGCGAAGGCAGGUAACUGGGCCAUUUCUGACGCUGAGGCACGAAAGCGUGGGGAGCAAAACAGGAUUAGAUACCCUGGUAGUCCACGCCCUAAACGAUGGAUACUAGGUUUUACGGAGCAAUCUGUAGAGUCCAAGUGAAAACGAUAAGUAUCCCACCUGGGGAGUACGCUCGCGAGGGUGAAACUCAAAGGAAUUGACGGGGGCCCGCACAAGCGGAGGAGCAUGUGGUUUAAUUCGAUGGUACGCGAGGAACCUUACCUGGGCUAGAAUGCGCGUGACGGAUUCAGAAAUGGGUCUUCUCGUAAGAGCACAAAGCAAGGUGCUGCAUGGCUGUCGUCAGCUCGUGCCGUGAGGUGUUGGGUUAAGUCCCGCAACGAGCGCAACCCCUGUGGUUAGUUGCCAGCACGUAAAGGUGGGAACUCUAAUCAGACUGCCUUCGUAAGGAGUGAGGAAGGAGGGGACGACGUCAAGUCAUCAUGGCCCUUACGCCCAGGGCUACACACGUGCUACAAUGGUUAAUACAGAGAGUCGCAAGCUGGUGACAGUAAGCAAAUCUCACAAAGUUAGCCUCAGUUCGGAUAGGAGUCUGCAACUCGACUCCUUGAAGCUGGAUUCGCUAGUAAUCGCGUAUCAGCAAUGACGCGGUGAAUACGUUCCCGGGCCUUGUACACACCGCCCGUCAAGCCAUGGAAGCCGGGGGUGCCUAAAGUCGGGGGAUAAGAUCCCUGCCCAAGGCAAAACUGGUAACUAGGGCUAAGUCGGAACAAGGUA